Molecule: ribosomal RNA, 911 nt
Filed under: Salmonella enterica
Lineage: Bacteria; Pseudomonadati; Pseudomonadota; Gammaproteobacteria; Enterobacterales; Enterobacteriaceae
Also listed under: 4 other names
Description: partial 23S ribosomal RNA
Rfam family: Bacterial large subunit ribosomal RNA
Source: RNAcentral
CCCCGGUAAACGGCGGCCGUAACUAUAACGGUCCUAAGGUAGCGAAAUUCCUUGUCGGGUAAGUUCCGACCUGCACGAAUGGCGUAAUGAUGGCCAGGCUGUCUCCACCCGAGACUCAGUGAAAUUGAACUCGCUGUGAAGAUGCAGUGUACCCGCGGCAAGACGGAAAGACCCCGUGAACCUUUACUAUAGCUUGACACUGAACAUUGAGCCUUGAUGUGUAGGAUAGGUGGGAGGCUUUGAAGUGUGGACGCCAGUCUGCAUGGAGCCGACCUUGAAAUACCACCCUUUAAUGUUUGAUGUUCUAACGUGGACCCGUAAUCCGGGUUGCGGACAGUGUCUGGUGGGUAGUUUGACUGGGGCGGUCUCCUCCUAAAGAGUAACGGAGGAGCACGAAGGUUGGCUAAUCCUGGUCGGACAUCAGGAGGUUAGUGCAAUGGCAUAAGCCAGCUUGACUGCGAGCGUGACGGCGCGAGCAGGUGCGAAAGCAGGUCAUAGUGAUCCGGUGGUUCUGAAUGGAAGGGCCAUCGCUCAACGGAUAAAAGGUACUCCGGGGAUAACAGGCUGAUACCGCCCAAGAGUUCAUAUCGACGGCGGUGUUUGGCACCUCGAUGUCGGCUCAUCACAUCCUGGGGCUGAAGUAGGUCCCAAGGGUAUGGCUGUUCGCCAUUUAAAGUGGUACGCGAGCUGGGUUUAGAACGUCGUGAGACAGUUCGGUCCCUAUCUGCCGUGGGCGCUGGAGAACUGAGGGGGGCUGCUCCUAGUACGAGAGGACCGGAGUGGACGCAUCACUGGUGUUCGGGUUGUCAUGCCAAUGGCACUGCCCGGUAGCUAAAUGCGGAAGAGAUAAGUGCUGAAAGCAUCUAAGCACGAAACUUGCCCCGAGAUGAGUUCUCCCUGAGACUUAGAGU